Molecule: long non-coding RNA, 327 nt
Filed under: Jatropha curcas
Lineage: Eukaryota; Viridiplantae; Streptophyta; Magnoliopsida; Malpighiales; Euphorbiaceae
Description: long non-coding RNA (JCUR_LNC001514)
Source: RNAcentral
CUUUUGUUCAAAUCUUUCAGGAAGUAACAUUUUCUAAAUCCCAGCUAUAACUCUGCUCUUCACCGUUAAAAAAGAAAUUCACUAAUUUUAGUAUUGAUCAAUUAAAUAGAUAAAUGUCCGAAGACUUAUAUGUAUACAUCCGUCAGUAAACUCCGCAGUUAUAGAACUUGUAUACUUUUAAGUUGUGUAUUAUUGUAGAUGGAAUAAUUCUGUGAGCCUGUAUUAUAACUAUAGUGUAUUGUAAGCAGGGAAAUUUGUAUGUUUAAAAUUUUAUUGAGAUAGCAAAUUUGUAGUGUUCAGGCUUACUACGGGCCUCGGGGGCCUUAA